AACUUCAUCUUCUUCACUCACACCCUCACCAUUAACACACAAUAAGGAUCCCAUGCAGAAGGCCUGAGAAGACUCAAUUUUAUCAAUACACACAUAGAAACAUACAGAAGAUGAUUCUCAAGGACGAAAACACAACACAGAAACCUUACGAUUUCCCUUCUCUGGGACACCAUUAGAGGUCCCGUUUCAUUCAUACUAUCGUCAUUCGUCACCGU
RNAcentral lists this long non-coding RNA (215 nucleotides) under Capsicum annuum. Its description in RNAcentral is "long non-coding RNA (CANN_LNC008752)". The record is from RNAcentral. Lineage: Eukaryota; Viridiplantae; Streptophyta; Magnoliopsida; Solanales; Solanaceae.